This 1379-nucleotide unclassified non-coding RNA is filed under the name Anthonomus grandis grandis. RNAcentral's name for it is "segmentation protein even-skipped". The record is from RNAcentral. Lineage: Eukaryota; Metazoa; Arthropoda; Insecta; Coleoptera; Curculionidae.
UAAAACCGGAAAAUAAGCGGAUUCGGUAGUCAUUUACGUACGAUACACGUUGGGUACUUCGCUCAUUUUGUUCCGAGUUUAGUUGAUUUCCAUUCAGUGCGUUUUGUGUACACACGAGACAGAAUCAGAUGAUGCAUUCCCACGAGAAUUUCAAAAUGUUCGGACAUCAUCAGAACGAACAGAGUAACGGAUCGGUAGUGUUGGAUAUUAUUCCGCCGCAUUAUGUUAACGGGAGUUUACAUCACGGACAACCCAGUCCGCCCCAGUCGCCCGGUACACCACCCAGUAAUUAUCGAAACGACGCUUCAAGUCCGAUUACUAACGGGGAAUUGAACCAAUCCACCCCGACAAGUCCCAGUUCGAACGAUCCGAAUAUUCGUCGUUACAGGACCGCGUUUACCCGGGAACAACUCGCCCGUCUGGAAAAGGAGUUUUUCAAGGAAAACUACGUUUCCAGACCGAGGAGGGUCGAGCUUGCCACCCAGUUGAAUUUGCCUGAAAGUACCAUUAAGGUCUGGUUCCAAAACAGACGAAUGAAGGACAAGAGACAACGUAUGGCGAUCGCGUGGCCAUACGCCGCCGUUUACAGUGACCCAAUCUUCGCCGCCUCUUUGCUACAAGCAGCCGCCUCCACCGUUCACUAUCCACCGGCUACCGCCAUGUAUCCCCCUCACUACCCGCGGUACAACCCUUAUCCGACUUUUGGGGUGCACCAUCAUUCGGCCAUACCGAACCCGAACCUGCUCCAUCCCGCCGCCCCCUCGGUCGGUUUCAACCCUGCCGCCCCCACCGGAUUAACGGGGGUUUUACCCCAUCAGAACCAACUGCAACAAGGUCUGAACAUCAAUUUGAACUUUGGAGAUAUGCCGCAGUAUCAGCCGUCAUCGCAUCAAAAGAUUUCGCCGACUGACUCGCAUCGCUCGGAGAUCAGUUUGAGUCCACCGGUGAUGGACGGUUUGAUGAUGUCCGCGGCCAAAUUGCCUUCGGGGGGUUUAAAUCAGACGCAGUUGUCCCAAUCGGAGAAACCUAAACUGUUUAAACCCUACAAGUCGGAAGUUUAACUGUUUUAUUUAUUGGUUUUAUUGCGUAAAUGUUCACUAGAUAUGCCAAAGAUGUUGAAGUAGUGGCGGGAGGGGUUUGUUUUGCUGACUGAACUUGCUUAUAUAUAUAGCUGUUAGUUGUAAAUACUCGUGUGUAUGUCCAGGUGUAUAAUUUAAUAAAGACUCACCUUCCCUUUUAAAGGAUUUGUAUAUAUAAAUGUAUAAUAUAUAGAUAGUGAUUUAUUUUUAUUUAUUAUAACUAAUGUACAGUACAUACGACACCUAUUUGUUGUUAAUAUAUAUAUAUACGUCUUUUAGUUUAAAUAAAAGGAGUAUUUG